RNAcentral lists this ribosomal RNA (459 nucleotides) under uncultured bacterium. RNAcentral describes it as "partial 16S ribosomal RNA". It matches the Rfam family "Bacterial small subunit ribosomal RNA", at positions 338 to 795 of the family's 1533-position model. The record is from RNAcentral.
CCUACGGGAGGCAGCAGUGAGGAAUAUUGGUCAAUGGGCGCGAGCCUGAACCAGCCAAGUCGCGUGAGGGAAGACGGUCCUAUGGAUUGUAAACCUCUUUUGUCGGGGAGCAAAAGACGCCACGUGUGGCGUUCCGAGAGUACCCGAAGAAAAAGCAUCGGCUAACUCCGUGCCAGCAGCCGCGGUAAUACGGAGGAUGCGAGCGUUAUCCGGAUUUAUUGGGUUUAAAGGGUGCGCAGGCGGAAGAUCAAGUCAGCGGUAAAAUUGAGAGGCUCAACCUCUUCGAGCCGUUGAAACUGGUUGUCUUGAGUGAGCGAGAGGUAUGCGGAAUGCGUGGUGUAGCGGUGAAAUGCAUAGAUAUCACGAAGAACUCCGAUGGCGAAGGCAGCAUACCGGCGCUCAACUGACGCUCAUGCACGAAAGUGUGGGUAUCGAACAGGAUUAGAUACCCCAGUAGUC